UGUGGUGAAGAAAAGACAACAUGCCUU
Molecule: non-coding RNA, 27 nt
Filed under: Mus musculus (house mouse)
Lineage: Eukaryota; Metazoa; Chordata; Mammalia; Rodentia; Muridae
Source: RNAcentral